Molecule: long non-coding RNA, 228 nt
Filed under: Trifolium pratense (red clover)
Lineage: Eukaryota; Viridiplantae; Streptophyta; Magnoliopsida; Fabales; Fabaceae
Description: long non-coding RNA (TPRA_LNC010328)
Source: RNAcentral
ACAAAACCCUUUUAAUCAUUUCAACGUGGCAGCUUUCUCUACCUCACAAGUUUUACAAAGCAAUUCCAUAGAAUUUUUAUUUAUUGUAGUAACCACACAACUUUGUUGGGAAAUGGGUAUUAUGCAUUGAUCAAGUAACUAGAGACUAUAGGAGUAGUUGAGGAAGGAAGGUUUGAGAACACAAACAAUCUUCAAAAUUGCAUCUGGUCACCUAGUCUUCUCCUGUGG